UCUGGUGGCGAUGGCAAAGAGGUCACACCCGUUCCCAUACCGAACACGGAAGUUAAGCUCUUUAGCGCCGAUGGUAGUUGGGACUUUGUCCCUGUGAGAGUAGGACAUCGCUAGGC
RNAcentral lists this ribosomal RNA (116 nucleotides) under Priestia megaterium. The record is from RNAcentral. Lineage: Bacteria; Bacillati; Bacillota; Bacilli; Caryophanales; Bacillaceae. RNAcentral also lists the same sequence under 1 other name.